Molecule: long non-coding RNA, 888 nt
Organism: Scomber scombrus (Atlantic mackerel)
Lineage: Eukaryota; Metazoa; Chordata; Actinopteri; Scombriformes; Scombridae
Exons: 4
Source: RefSeq, a predicted model, not a curated record
UCGAGGUGUUUAUCCAAAACCUGAGGUACAGUGGCAGGACAGUGAAGGAAAAAUCAUUCCUGCUGAGGAUCCACAGGUGUCAGAAAGAGGAGGCCGAUUCGACGUGAUCCUCCGAACUACUGUGAACAAAGCCAGCCGCUUCCGCUGUGUAGCCACACAGAAGGAAAUCAGCCACACGAUUCAUGCUGAGACAUAUGUUCCUUUCAAAGAAAAAACAGCUGAAGUCAAAGCAGGGUUCUCUGGUGGAUUGGUUGUUGGCCUUGUUCUUGGUGCUCUUAUACUUGGUUUUGCUCUUGGAGCUGGGCUUUGCAUGUUACAAAGACGUAAGAAAAACGGAGGUCCUGAUUAUAAAACCAGUCCAGAAGAGGAGGCUUGAAGUUGACUGCUGAAGUGUGUGUGCUCUUGUAUCUUUUGAUUUUUGUGAGGAUCAGUUUGAGUUUUAGACAAAAACUAUUAAAACAUUUUUGGAGCAGUUGGAGCAUUUUGUCCUCAUUUAUCCAAAGGCUGGCUUUUAAGUUGAGGUUUUAGAGUUAAAGAUAGAAACAUACGACUGUAUAAACCUGUUAACUUUAAGAUGAAGCUUCCUGUCUUACUGCAGCAGGACCAGGAGGGGGCAGUGUAGCUCACUACAUGAUAUCAAAUAGAAAACACUGAAAUACCCAAAAAACAGAGAACAGAACAGUUUCAGCUGCCUAAACCUCAAAGAGAUUAAAAGCUUUAUAAUUUGACUUGUAGCUUGACCAUUAUAACAUUAUUAAUAAAUAUCAAUGAAUAAUGAGAACUGUUGUAGUUGUGAUGGACUACAUUAGAUCUCUGAUCCUCAGCUGAAAUAAACAACCAUCGUAGUCACUCAGACUUUAAAAGAUAAAGUAGAAAUGUGUGCCAAUG